CUUUGCUGCUGUUGCUAAAGCUGCCUAGUCUAGCUUAAUAACCUAGAUGCGCACGGAUAUGAUAGUCUUUCUUAUGACACUAUCUAUACAUCCGUUCAUAUUCCGCAUAAGACGGUCUUUGCUUUUUGUCUGGGAGUUAAGGCUGUAUUUAACAGACUCGCUAACUAUUACCCUGGCUAAUUGGGGAAUAGUCAAGCUAAACUCAAAUAGAUUAGCCUAAGCAUGUAGAUCCAAAGAUCUAGAGUUUGUGGACGCGGGUUCAAAUCCCGCCGCCUCCACCA
This 281-nucleotide transfer-messenger RNA is filed under the name Francisella tularensis. Its description in RNAcentral is "partial transfer-messenger RNA". It matches the Rfam family "transfer-messenger RNA", at positions 82 to 374 of the family's 374-position model. From Rfam's summary of the family: Bacterial tmRNA, also known as 10Sa RNA or SsrA, is named for its dual tRNA and mRNA-like properties. Its role is to liberate the mRNA from a stalled ribosome. To accomplish this part of the tmRNA is used as a reading frame that ends in a translation stop signal. The record is from RNAcentral. Lineage: Bacteria; Pseudomonadati; Pseudomonadota; Gammaproteobacteria; Thiotrichales; Francisellaceae.